Molecule: unclassified non-coding RNA, 301 nt
Filed under: Ambisporaceae sp.
Lineage: Eukaryota; Fungi; Glomeromycota; Glomeromycetes; Archaeosporales; Ambisporaceae
Description: partial contains 5.8S ribosomal RNA and internal transcribed spacer 2
Rfam family: 5.8S ribosomal RNA (bases 1-71)
Source: RNAcentral
GUGAAUCAUCAAAUCUUUGAACGCAUAUUGCACUCCCUGGUAUUCCGGAGAGUAUGCCUAUUUGAGGGUCAUUUGACAUAAUAGACAUUCCAAGGUUUCUAGGAAUGUAAAAUGGGUUGUCCAUUUAAUGUGGUCGCCUAAUAUUCAAUACAAUCUCAUUUUAUUGGGUUGCGUGAUACUUGCAAUUACCUCGUGACUUAACCAGGAAUCAUCGGUUGUGUUAUGUAUUUUGCAAGAGAUAAAAAAUUCCAUAGAUUUAUCUCAUUCGAAAUAGAAAUCGAAUCAUGACCUCUAAUUAUGU